Bradysia coprophila is the source of this 367-nucleotide long non-coding RNA. The record is from RefSeq and is a predicted model, not a curated record. Lineage: Eukaryota; Metazoa; Arthropoda; Insecta; Diptera; Sciaridae.
GAAAACUAUUUCAUUUCACCAUAAACACGCAACAAAGUACUACCGCCGAAAGUAGUUUUGAAUUUGACCGCGAAAAUAAUUUUAGACAUAUGAGUACAUCUUAUUACAAUCUUCACAUCAGAUGUGGCUACAAUGUUUGUUUACUUCUUCACAAAAUUUUGUAAAUUAUUAACAUUUAUUACACUUCUAAAGCAUUUUAGGCGAUUAAAGAACAAGUCCCAUUGGGAAAAUGAUCACUUAUUUACACAAUCAUAAACCGAGUUAGUAAAAAAAUCAAAAUUUUAGAUGACACAAAAUAUUUCCGCACAAUAAUUUAGCUUUAAACUGGUUUAGGAGAAUUUGUCGAAAUUUUUAUUAAUUUUAUUAA